This 264-nucleotide unclassified non-coding RNA is filed under the name Hevea brasiliensis (rubber tree). Lineage: Eukaryota; Viridiplantae; Streptophyta; Magnoliopsida; Malpighiales; Euphorbiaceae. The record is from RNAcentral.
GCUUAAGCUGCAAGCUAGUGUGGUGUUGAUAACUUGAUGGGAUUAUCUGUUUCUUUUUUCUCCUUUUAUCUCCCAAUUUAUUUAUAUAUCAUGAUUGAGACUAGCUGAUUCAACUAUAAUUGUUUAGCGCAAUUUGAUGCAUCACUUACUCAGAUUCUUUUCCCUAUUCGGUUUAAACUUUUAGUUAAUGUGUAGCUUAGGGCUUAUGUGUCUGGUUUUUUAUCUUCCUAACUACUUAUUCACUGCUAACAGGUUGAUUGGUUG